CCUACGGGAGGCAGCAGUGGGGAAUAUUGCACAAUGGGGGCAACCCUGAUGCAGCGACGCCGCGUGAGGGAUGACGUAUUUCGGUAUUGUAAGCUCUAUCAGCAGGGAAGAAAAUGACGGUACCUGAUUAAGAAGCCCCGGCUAACUACGUGCCAGCAGCCGCGGUACUGCGUAGGGGGCAAGCGUUAUCCGGAUUUACUGGGUGUAAAGGGAGCGUAGACGGCAUCACAAGUCAGGAGUGAAAUGCCGGGGCUUAACCCCGGAACUGCUGUGGAAACUGUGCAGCUAGAGUGCAGGAGAGGUAAGUGGAAUUCGUGGUGUAGCGGUGAAAUGCGUAGAUAUUAGGAGGAACACCAGUUGCGAAGGCAGCUUACUGGACUGUAACUGACGUUGAGGCUCGAAAGCGUGGGGAGCAAACAGGAUUAGAUACCCUUGUAGUC
RNAcentral lists this ribosomal RNA (440 nucleotides) under uncultured bacterium. Its description in RNAcentral is "partial 16S ribosomal RNA". It matches the Rfam family "Bacterial small subunit ribosomal RNA", at positions 338 to 795 of the family's 1533-position model. The record is from RNAcentral.